Molecule: unclassified non-coding RNA, 332 nt
Filed under: soil metagenome
Description: partial contains 5.8S ribosomal RNA, internal transcribed spacer 2, and large subunit ribosomal RNA
Rfam family: 5.8S ribosomal RNA (bases 1-120)
Source: RNAcentral
GAUGAAGAACGCAGCGAAAUGCGAUAAGCAGUGUGAAUUGCAGAAUUCAGUGAAUCAUCGAAUCUUUGAACGCACAUUGCGCCCUUUGGUAUUCCUUAGGGCAUGCCUGUUCGAGCGUCAUUUAAACCUUCAAGCUAAGCUUGGUGUUGGGUGACUGUCCGCUUCACGGCGGACUCGCCUCAAAAUUAUUGGCGGCCGGUACAUUGGCUUCGAGCGCAGCAGAAACGCGAACUCGGGCCCGUCGUAUUGGCUCCCAGAAGCUAUCUUCACAAUUUUGACCUCGGAUCAGGUAGGGAUACCCGCUGAACUUAAGCAUAUCAAUAAGCGGAGGA